Molecule: ribosomal RNA, 460 nt
Filed under: uncultured bacterium
Lineage: Bacteria
Description: partial 16S ribosomal RNA
Rfam family: Bacterial small subunit ribosomal RNA
Source: RNAcentral
CCUACGGGUGGCUGCAGUGGGGAAUAUUGGGCAAUGGGCGCGAGCCUGAACCAGCCAAGUCGCGUGAGGGAUGACGGCCCUACGGGUUGUAAACCUCUUUUGUCGGGGAGCAACUGGCGCCACGCGUGGGGCCACCGAGAGUACCCGGAGAAAAAGCAUCGGCUAACUCCGUGCCAGCAGCCGCGGUAAUACGGAGGAUGCGAGCGUUAUCCGGAUUUAUUGGGUUUAAAGGGUGCGUAGGCGGAAUGUUAAGUCAGUGGUAAAAAUGAGGGGCUCAACCCCUUCGUGCCAUUGAAACUGGCGCUCUUGAGUGGAAGAGAAGUUUGCGGAAUGCGUGGUGUAGCGGUGAAAUGCAUAGAUAUCACGCAGAACCCCGAUUGCGAAGGCAGCAUGCCGGCUUCCAACUGACGCUGAAGCACGAAAGCGUGGGGAUCGAACAGGAUUAGAUACCCCAGUAGUC